Long non-coding RNA from Notolabrus celidotus (New Zealand spotty), 798 nucleotides. RefSeq lists it as uncharacterized. The record is from RefSeq and is a predicted model, not a curated record. Lineage: Eukaryota; Metazoa; Chordata; Actinopteri; Labriformes; Labridae. The transcript has 3 exons.
UGUGUGUGUGUGUGUGUGUGUGUGUGUGUGUGUGUGGCUUAAACAUGACUGGGCCAAAAAGAACUUGGCAGCAAGUAAAAGUCAAAUACAAGAACAUCUUGCAGAAUGCCGUCAAAAAGAGAGGCCAAAUACAAAGAACGGGUGGUGGGUCACCUCCCACCGCCCUCACCCCAGCCGAAGACAUGGCCUUAUCACAAAAUAAAGGCAGGCCAGUUUUGGAGGGGAUCCUUGGGGGGGACAGAAACAAAUGCAUGUCCCUCCCAAGAGGCUAACCGCUUCAUACAAGUUUCUGGCAGCACUAUCUCCUUGCUGGAGCCACCAAUGCCAGAUGAAGAUGAUGAUGAUGAUGAUGAUGAUCCAGUGAGUACACUGUAGGCCUGCCGUGUUCCCUGAUGACGACAGUGGUCGGCUGGUCAGGGACCAAUAUGUGUUGAAUUACUUUAGUUAACAUGCUUUAAAUUUCAGUUAUAUAUGGCCUGCAGUGGCAGAGACAUAUAUAUAUUCAAAUUUGAAUUAAUUUGACCUCUUAUAAUUGCACUGUAUAUUGUGUAUACAAGCUUGUAGGGAGGCUACUGCAUGUAUUAAUUUGUCUGUUCAUUUGUUGUGUAUGGAUUUGGCCUGCAUUUAUUUCAGUGUGCAGACAUUAUAUACAGACUGAUUGUGUAUGCAUUAUUUUGUUGUAUGCUUUUGAUUCCAUGCUUUCUAUCUUGUAGAGUCACUGUGUGGCUUCAGUUUUGAAAGGAGCUGAUGGUUUACCUGCUUUUAUAUAUCCUUAUUCAAUAAAGGAAGAUCAUGUCA